UGAGUAACACGUAUCCAACCUGCCGUCUACUCUUGGACAGCCUUCUGAAAGGAAGAUUAACACAAGAUGGCAUCAUGAGUCCGCAUGUUCACAUGAUUAAAGGUAUUCCGGUAGACGAUGGGGAUGCGUUCCAUUAGAUAGUAGGCGGGGUAACGGCCCACCUAGUCUUCGAUGGAUAGGGGUUCUGAGAGGAAGGUCCCCCACAUUGGAACUGAGACACGGUCCAA
RNAcentral lists this ribosomal RNA (227 nucleotides) under uncultured bacterium. Its description in RNAcentral is "partial 16S ribosomal RNA". It matches the Rfam family "Bacterial small subunit ribosomal RNA", at positions 107 to 334 of the family's 1533-position model. The record is from RNAcentral.